RNAcentral lists this ribosomal RNA (492 nucleotides) under uncultured bacterium. RNAcentral describes it as "partial 16S ribosomal RNA". It matches the Rfam family "Bacterial small subunit ribosomal RNA", at positions 29 to 507 of the family's 1533-position model. The record is from RNAcentral.
AGUGAACGCUGGCGGUAGGCCUAACACAUGCAAGUCGAACGGCAGCACAGUAAGAGCUUGCUCUUACGGGUGGCGAGUGGCGGACGGGUGAGGAAUACAUCGGAAUCUACUUUUUCGUGGGGGAUAACGUAGGGAAACUUACGCUAAUACCGCAUACGACCUACGGGUGAAAGCAGGGGAUCUUCGGACCUUGCGCGAUUGAAUGAGCCGAUGUCGGAUUAGCUAGUUGGCGGGGUAAAGGCCCACCAAGGCGACGAUCCGUAGCUGGUCUGAGAGGAUGAUCAGCCACACUGUAACUGCGACACGGUCCAGACUCCUACGGGAGGCAGCAGUGGGGAAUAUUGGACCAUGGGCGCAAGCCUGAUCCAGCCCUACCGCGUGGGUGAAGAAGGCCUUCGGGUUGUAAAGCCCUUUUGUUGGGAAAGAAAAGCAGCAGGUUAAUACCCCGCUGUUCUGACGGUACCCAAAGAAUAAGCACCGGCUAACUUCGUG